RNAcentral lists this long non-coding RNA (224 nucleotides) under Lathyrus oleraceus (garden pea). Its description in RNAcentral is "Pisum sativum (pea) long non-coding RNA (PSAT_LNC034924)". The record is from RNAcentral. Lineage: Eukaryota; Viridiplantae; Streptophyta; Magnoliopsida; Fabales; Fabaceae.
AAUUACAAGAAGAAGAUUAUGAUGAGGAACAGGCCAAUGUUGCAUUGAUGGCAACUAAAGCUGAUCCUAAAGGUUCUGAAGAACCAGAAGACAAAGUGUUGUCAAAGUCAGAAUCAGACUCCAAUUAUGAAGAGGUAUUUUCUAAACUAUCUCGUUCUAAUUUAGAUUCAUGUCUUUCUGAAAUGCUAAAAAAGUACCAAAGUCUUUAGAGUAGGUACAAGAAC